AGUGAACGCUGGCGGUAGGCCUAACACAUGCAAGUCGAACGGCAGCACAGUAAGCGCUCGCUCGUACGGGUGGCGAGUGGCGGACGGGUGAGGAAUACAUCGGAAUCUACUUUUUCGUGGGGGAUAACGUAGGGAAACUUACGCUAAUACCGCAUACGACCUACGGGUGAAAGCAGGGGAUCUUCGGACCUUGCGCGAUCGAAUGAGCCGAUGUCGGAUUAGCUAGUUGGCGGGGUAAAGGCCCACCAAGGCGACGAUCCGUAGCUGGUCUGAGAGGAUGAUCAGCCACACUGGAACUGAGACACGGUCCAGACUCCUACGGGAGGCAGCAGUGGGGAAUAUUGGACAAUGGGCGAAAGCCUGAUCCAGCCAUACCGCGUGGGUGAAGAAGGCCUUCGGGUUGUAAAGCCCUUUUGUUGGGAAAGAAAAGCAGCAGGUUAAUACCCCGCUGUUCUGACGGUACCCAAAGAAUAAGCACCGGCUAACUUCGUG
Molecule: ribosomal RNA, 492 nt
Filed under: uncultured bacterium
Lineage: Bacteria
Description: partial 16S ribosomal RNA
Rfam family: Bacterial small subunit ribosomal RNA
Source: RNAcentral